This is a long non-coding RNA of Juglans regia (Persian walnut), 757 nucleotides long. RefSeq lists it as uncharacterized. The transcript is spliced from 3 exons. The record is from RefSeq and is a predicted model, not a curated record. Lineage: Eukaryota; Viridiplantae; Streptophyta; Magnoliopsida; Fagales; Juglandaceae.
UUACCUGUAGCUUCCCCCAUAAGCCAAGUGAAUUCAUUUCCUUCUCCUACAAGUUGGCUUCCUCAACAAGCCAUUAGACUUUCCCAUUCCUCUCUUCACCGUAAGCUUCCUCAAGAAGCUGAGUAAAUCCUCUUGCUUGCAGCUUCCUUCAGAAGCUAAUCAAAUAUCAUUCCCUUCUCCUAUACGCCAGCGUCUAAGGCAAGGCAAGUAAUACUCUUCUUCCUUCUCUUACACGCUGAUUCCAAGGGACAAGAAAAACAAAAACAAUUCCUUUCUCUUCCUCACUUACCCAUCGGUCCCAAGGCACACGGAGGAGAGAAAACUUCUCUAGUCUCCUCACUCACACGAAGAACCCUUCGGUUUCCCCUCUCCCAACCGCGCGACCUCUUCUUCUCCUCAAGCUGAUUCUCCCAUUUCGUAAACCCAGGUUUCCACCGAAAGCCUUCAAGGAAAAUCCACCGUCUUUGAGGUUUCGAACUUCUCUUCAUUUCUUGUUGCUGUGUACUUCCGUGACUGCAAAAGAGACCCAAACAGGUAAUGAUGAAAAGGCUGGGGAGUAAGGCAUUACUGCAGAGGGAGAGGCAGACGCUUAGGACUUUCCCUAACGAGGACAGUUAUGUUACGAAUGAUGGGUUAUGUUAUGUAUAGAUAUUUUAAUUUGAGAUGGACUCUGAGAGUCUCUUAUGGAUGAAUGUUCGAAUAGAACGUCCAUUAAGUGUUCCCUUUUAUUAAACGAAAAAUUUAGAGUGCAUGUGUG